AGAGGGUGAUUCUGGCUCAGGAUGAACGCUAGCUACAGGCUUAACACAUGCAAGUCGAGGGGCAUCAGGAUGUAGCAAUACAUUGCUGGCGACCGGCGCACGGGUGAGUAACACGUAUCCAACCUGCCUUUUACUCGGGGAUAGGCUUCCGAAAGAAAGAUUAGUACCCGAUGGUAUAAUAUUUCCGCAUGGGAUUAUUAUUAAAGAAUUUCGGUAAAAGAUGGGGAUGCGUUCCAUUAGGCAGUUGGCGGGGUAACGGCCCACCAAACCUUCGAUGGAUAGGGGUUCUGAGAGGAAGGUCCCCCACAUUGGAACUGAGACACGGUCCAAACUCCUACGGGAGGCAGCAGUGAGGAAUAUUGGUCAAUGGGCGGAAGCCUGAACCAGCCAAGUAGCGUGAAGGAUGACUGCCCUAUGGGUUGUAAACUUCUUUUAUAGGGGAAUAAAAUGAGCCACGUGUGGCUUUUUGUAUGUACCCUAUGAAUAAGGAUCGGCUAACUCCGUGCCAGCAGCCGCGGUAAUACGGAGGAUCCGAGCGUUAUCCGGAUUUAUUGGGUUUAAAGGGAGCGUAGGUGGACAUGUAAGUCAGUUGUGAAAGUUUGCGGCUCAACCGUAAAAUUGCAGUUGAUACUGUGUGUCUUGAGUACAGUAGAGGUGGGCGGAAUUCGUGGUGUAGCGGUGAAAUGCUUAGAUAUCACGAAGAACUCCGAUUGCGAAGGCAGCUCACUGGACUGUUACUGACACUGAGGCUCGAAAGUGUGGGUAUCAAACAGGAUUAGAUACCCUGGUAGUCCACACAGUAAAC
RNAcentral lists this ribosomal RNA (805 nucleotides) under uncultured bacterium. RNAcentral describes it as "bacterial SSU rRNA". It matches the Rfam family "Bacterial small subunit ribosomal RNA", at positions 8 to 807 of the family's 1533-position model. The record is from RNAcentral.